Molecule: ribosomal RNA, 594 nt
Filed under: uncultured archaeon
Lineage: Archaea
Description: bacterial SSU rRNA
Rfam family: Archaeal small subunit ribosomal RNA
Source: RNAcentral
UAAGACAUGCGAGUUGUGCGUCUCUAAGCCAUGGUAGAGACGCGGCGUACGGCUCAGUAACAUGUGGCUAACCUACCCUUAGGACGGAGACAACCCCGGGAAACUGGGGCUAAUACCCGGUAGAUUAGGAGGCCUGGAAUGGUUUCUAGUCGAAAAGGCGUUGAAACCAUGCUUUUCGACGUCGCCUAAGGAUGGGGCCGCACCUGAUCAGGUUGUUGGUGGGGUAACGGCUCACCAAGCCUAUAACCGGUACGGGCCGUGAGAGCGGGAGCCCGGAGAUGGGCACUGAGACAAGGGCCCAGGCCCUACGGGGCGCAGCAGUCGCGAAAACUCCGCAAUGCGCGAAAGCGUGUCGGGGCUACCCCGAGUGCCGUCCGCUGAGGAUGGCUUUUCCCCGGUGUAAUGAGCCGAGGGAAUAAGGAGAGGGCAAGACUGGUGUCAGCCGCCGCGGUAAUACCAGCUCUCCGAGUGGUAGGGAUGAUUAUUGGGCUUAAAGCGUCCGUAGCCGGCUUAGCAAGUCUCCUGUUAAAUUCAGCGACCUAAUCGUUGAGCCGCGGGAGACACUACUAGGCUAGGAGGCGGGAGAGGCCGACG